UGCUUGCACCUCCAGUGUUGGA
RNAcentral lists this unclassified non-coding RNA (22 nucleotides) under Mus musculus (house mouse). Its description in RNAcentral is "oocyte_clustered_small_RNA11770". Lineage: Eukaryota; Metazoa; Chordata; Mammalia; Rodentia; Muridae. The record is from RNAcentral.